CAGUCGCCGCGGGAAUACGAAGGGGGCUAGCGUUGUUCGGAUUUACUGGGCGUAAAGCGUGCGUAGGCGGUGAGUUAAGUCUGCUGUGAAAUCCCCGGGCUCAACCUGGGAAUGGCAGUGGAUACUGGCUCGCUAGAGUGUGUCAGAGGAUGGUGGAAUUCCCGGUGUAGCGGUGAAAUGCGUAGAGAUCGGGAGGAACAUCAGUGGCGAAGGCGGCCAUCUGGGACAACACUGACGCUGAGGCACGAAAGCGUGGGGAGCAAACAGGAUUAGAUACCCCAGUAGUCCCUGUCUCUUAUAA
RNAcentral lists this ribosomal RNA (301 nucleotides) under uncultured bacterium. RNAcentral describes it as "partial 16S ribosomal RNA". It matches the Rfam family "Bacterial small subunit ribosomal RNA", at positions 509 to 809 of the family's 1533-position model. The record is from RNAcentral.